GUCGAAGGUGGGGCUGAUGACUGGGGUGAAGUCGUAACAAGGUAUCCGUACCGGAAGGUGCGGAUGGAUCACCUCCUAACAGGGAGACAACACAAUGAUUUUGAUGCCUGAGUGCUUUUAUUCUUAGGCCGAAAUCCUGUCACCUUAGGUCGAUCGGUACCUCAGCUUUGAAGUCAAGGAUCAGCAGCAAUGUUGAUUGCUUGAUGGAGAUUUUCAGUUCCUAAACUUUGUCUAGGUCACACCCCAAAAGGGAUGAGACUCCUGGGCCAUUAGCUCAGGUGGUUAGAGCGCACCCCUGAUAAGGGUGAGGUCCCUGGUUCAAGUCCAGGAUGGCCCAUUCGGUGUUGGGGGUUUAGCUCAGUUGGUAGAGCGCCUGCUUUGCAAGCAGGAUGUCAGGAGUUCGAGUCUCCUAACCUCCACUGACCGAACUUGAUUCCCAUCUCCAAUUCUUUUGGAGUUGAGCUCGAUUGGAGUGUGAUUUAGAUGUGUCCGCUGGAUGACCCCAGCUUCCUGUCAUUCCAAGUUUUAGGUUGAUGCCUUGAAUUUGGUUGAUAAGAUGCUGGGCUCGGAUCAAAUGAUCAAGCAAUUGAUGAUUUGAUUUGAAGUUCUAGCAGAACCUUGACAACUGCAUAGGUGAGUCUGGAAAAAACAAAGCAUCUUACAGAUGCAUUGUUUUGAAUCUGAUCUUCUGAAAGGGAGAUUGGAUCUAGAACAAUGAAAAUUCUUUUGAGCAAGAGCCGAGACUCUUGAGCGUUCUUUGAUUGGUGUCGAGCUAAUCAGAGUUUGAUUUUGUUUUUAGCAAUAAAAACUUGAGAAUCUGCUUUCAACGGCGGUAAGCGUUCAAGAGGUUAAUUGGUCAAGCUACAAAGGGCUCACGGC
RNAcentral lists this unclassified non-coding RNA (879 nucleotides) under uncultured Synechococcus sp. Its description in RNAcentral is "partial may contain 16S ribosomal RNA, 16S-23S ribosomal RNA intergenic spacer, and 23S ribosomal RNA". The stretch from base 347 to 419 matches the Rfam family "tRNA". Lineage: Bacteria; Bacillati; Cyanobacteriota; Cyanophyceae; Synechococcales; Synechococcaceae. The record is from RNAcentral.